This is a long non-coding RNA of Chiloscyllium plagiosum (whitespotted bambooshark), 1328 nucleotides long. RefSeq lists it as uncharacterized. NCBI's taxonomy places the organism in Eukaryota, Metazoa, Chordata, Chondrichthyes, Orectolobiformes, Hemiscylliidae. The record is from RefSeq and is a predicted model, not a curated record.
ACUGGGACUACUUUUCAGGAGAAUCCUGAAUGGAUUCAAUAUCGAUGAGAAAUCACCUCCUUUGCUGGGUCUGUCACUGGGAAUAUUCGGUGGCGCUUGCAGCUGACCGUGGGUGUUCUUUAGACAGGGUAGUGAAGAUCUGGAACACCCCUUUCCAUGUUGAGGUUGGAAGACAACUGGAUGUUUCAAACCUGAAAUCCAUGGAACAUUGGAGCCGAGAAUGUUAAGUGUACAACACGAAGGUGUUUAUUGGAAGUGUCCAACACAAGCAUUUUUUGCAUGGGAUCCUGUAACAGACUUGCAAUGGAUUUGUUGAUACAUCUGCCUGGUUGAUCUGCUGUGAAAUGGAGUGGAGUCCCAAGCUCGUUCUUCGGUCUCUGCUGAAAUCACUUGGAAUAAAAUUAGUGAUCCCAGACAUUUAAGUUAGCAAGGUUGACAGCUUUAACUCAGGAUGCAUUUGUUUUUCCAUAACCUGUUGUGCGAGGACUGAAAUAAAUCUGUGCAGAGGGAGAAGUGGAUUAAAUCAGAACAAUUUAAUGCAGGAGUGAGCUCUGGGCACUUUGUGAGGGGGUGGGGAGGGACUCAAGAAUGUUUUAUCCUUGAAUGUAUUUUUUUCCUUAGUAAAAGAAAGUGGAAAUUGAUUCUCUCAAAUCUGUUUUGUAAUGAGUGACAAAGUUGGCUUUGUGUCUAUGGCAGCGGAAAUUACAAAAUCUGUCUAGUUCUCUCCGUUUUAACUGGAGCAAUGCUUUACCCCAUUGUUAAUAAAAUUACAGAUGUGAAUUUGCAAUGACUGCAGGGCAGGUUCUGAUCUAAAAACACUUAUGUGAAAACUGUAUGAUCCUGACACAGAGCAAAAGGCAUUUUCCCCUUGUUUGCAGUUUCCCCAUGUUCUCUGAGGCUGUGAUAUAGGAGAUUGGAAUCACGGUAGUUAGUGUAAUUAAUAUGCGCCUGUGGAUUUUAACAAUCAAUAUAGAAAAUCCACAGAGUUCACUAAUUUAAUACUUUAUAAGAAAAUAAGGAACAGGAAGAGACAGUUUGAACCCUUGAGCUUGUUUCUUUAUUUAAAUCCCUUAGUACCCAAAAACCUAUUGACUUCUCUUGACUCAAUGACUACUCAACGCCUGAGUAUCUACAGCUCUCUAGGGUAGAGCAUUCCAAAAAUUCACAGCCCUUUGAGUAAAGAUAUUUCUCUUUAUCUCAUUCCUAAAUAGCUAACUCAUUAUCCUGAGAUUUUCAAGCAUGUGUACUGAGUUGGGACAGUCUACUUAUAUAUCAGCCUUGAGGGAAAUGUAUUCAGCUUUGGUCAUCUGAACUUGUAGUUUUGUCAU